Dermacentor andersoni is the source of this 1353-nucleotide non-coding RNA. Lineage: Eukaryota; Metazoa; Arthropoda; Arachnida; Ixodida; Ixodidae. The record is from RefSeq and is a predicted model, not a curated record.
CUACACAAGGUGCAAGAACUGGCAGUCCGGGUGUUUAGAAAUUUUGAGCCUGCAUUGCAAGGCCGCUCGUGAGAAGUUUCGUACAUUUCGGCCGACACGUUGUUUCUUUAGCAACGCGUGCGGAUGGCUUGGAGCUAGGAAGGAUUUAGCCGAGCACCUUGUACGGUGCCACGGCACCCCUUCAUGCACCAUAGACGGCCAAGGAAGGCUCCUCAUCAUGGAAGAUGUUGCCUGUCAAGCUAACCCAACCAGAGCCACUUUACUGGCGCUUGACAACGUACUUUUUGCCUUGGUUGUCAAGCGGCGUAGGCAGUUCCUAGGCCAAGUGUCGCUACAGCUGUUUGUUUUGAACGAGGUUUCAAGGAGCUACUUCUACUCUGUAGAAAUACACAGAAGCGUAGGUAAUAACAUUUGGACGUCGGCAGCCACAUUUCCAGGAACUGCAUCGAAAGGAGCUUUCCGAAUCACAGAAGAUUUCCUGCUGGACUUGGCCAUGGAUGGGUGCAUUUGCAUGAAAGUCAAAAUCUGGCCAUCGUAAUAAAUUACCAACGGAACCGACCGAAACAAGAACCUGCAUAUUGUUUUUAUUUGAUCGUCCCGUGGCUUCCAAGCUUGCCAGAAUUAAGCACUUAGGUUGAAGUGGUCGUCCUCUCCAUGUGGCAACGUCUCGGGUGAAGAAAAUACGGACAGCGUACACUAAAAGAAUCCAAGUUAACCUAAACGUGCGUUUGCACAUUUUUUACAAUCUACGCGUGAUAUCUUUCCACGCUUAAACAUAAUGCCUACUAGGAGUGAUCAGCAACUCCUAUUCAUGCUUAGCCGGCGUGAUAGGGACCCCUGUUCCCACGAUUAGAGACGGGCCCGGGGGCGAAGGGAGAUGGAUUGAGGAGAAUCACCCAGCCCUCCGCCUCCCCCAUUCUCGCCAUGCGAGGGAUGCAACGAGGAACCACCAGCCCUUGUCGGCUUGGGUCGCUUCUCCGAAUUACGCGAGCUUUGCUCCCCAAGCUCUUCGCAGUCCUCCUCUUUAUGGUUAGACGGUGACGGACCAAGACGCUAUGGCAGUGGCAGCAGUACGGCUACGUAGAAGCUCAAUAUGCUGCAGAGAUCGCGCAAGACGCUCCCGCGGGUGACACUGAAACUAAUUUAUUAAGAAGGGGCUUUAAGGCCCAGCAGAUUUCAACAACGCCAAGGAAUGUAAAACGUAAACAAGCCUCGUCGGUAUCCUUGCACAAAAAGACGAACGCCCUCUCAACCGCGCUUUGCGGCGCCACGCGUCUAAAGACAGCGAGCCGCGUGCAGGAUAGGGACGUCAGGACAGCAUUUCCCCUAAUAAAUCUUAAUGUUUUCGCAUUC